RNAcentral lists this ribosomal RNA (366 nucleotides) under Triticum aestivum (bread wheat). RNAcentral's name for it is "partial small subunit ribosomal RNA". The record is from RNAcentral. Lineage: Eukaryota; Viridiplantae; Streptophyta; Magnoliopsida; Poales; Poaceae.
AUGGAGGUUCUCGCGCUCAACUGGCUCGCGCAACUUCUUCGGCCGCCCGCUACGUUCAUGAACCGCACCAGCACUGGAAGUCGUGGCACCGGCGGUGGUGUUAUCCUCGGCACCACCAGCGAAGCUAUGCUGGUCACCCUUGUUGCCGCCCGUGAUGCCGCUCUACAUCGGAGUGGUUCUGUCGGCGUCUCUGGCUUGCCACGGUUGAUAGUCUACGCUGCCGAUCAGACCAACUCCACCUUCUUCAAAGCUUGUCGCCUCACUGGGUUUGACCCAGCCAACAUCCGCUCCAUGGAGAUCAACCCAGAGUACCUCAAGAAUCAUGCCACUGACUCCGGUGAGGUCACUGAUCUCAAGGACAUGUAG